This 1336-nucleotide non-coding RNA is filed under the name Pongo abelii (Sumatran orangutan). Lineage: Eukaryota; Metazoa; Chordata; Mammalia; Primates; Hominidae. The record is from RNAcentral.
AGAGUUCACUGAGAGGACUGGGAUCACCCGUCACCCCGCCCUGGUCUACGGAAAAUGACAAGUGUUUACUGAUAUAGAAACGGAAUAUAUAGAAUAUGGAAACGGAAUAUAUAGAAACGGCGCUGUGGGCUAGGGUGGGCGGAGCUGCCUUCAGGCUUCUGGUCUCCAGCAGCGGGGAACUCACACCUGCCGCUGUGAAAAUGCAGACCCGCGGGGCAGGAAUUCCGAGUCCAGCCUGGGGCGCGAUCUGUAAUCUGACUCGCUUGAAACACCGCGGCGGAUUCGGAGCCAGGUGACUAGGGAAAUGAGCCUCAGCCCCUCCCACGGGCCGCCCACGGAUUCCAGGAUCCGAAAACUCUUCUUGCUGCUGCGUCACCCCAGGAAGGCAGCGCCCGCCUCUGGGCUGUUCUGAUGGAAACUGGCUCCGCCGUCCAGAGGAAAACCCACAACUAAGGGGCCAAGAAAAAGCCUCCAUGGUCGCGCCCUUUCAGUGAGGAUCCUAAUUUAUACCCCGAGUGUGGCCCCCAUCAAAGUCUGCAGUGACAGCCGAGCGCGGUGGCUCACGCCUGUAAUCCCAGCACUUUGAGAGGCCGAGGCGGGCGGAUCACGAGAUCAGGAGAUCGAGACCAUCCUGGCUAACACGGUGAAAUCCCGUCUCUACUAAAAAUACAAAAAAUUAGCCGGGCGUAGUGGCACGUGCCUGUAGUCCCAGCUACUAGGGAGGCUGAGGCAGGAGAAUGGCGUGAACCCAGGAGGCGGAGCUUGCAGUGAGCCGAGAUCGCGCCACUGCACUCCAGCCUGAGCGACAGAGCGAGACUCCGUCUCACAAAAAAAAAAAAAAAAAGAAAAGAAAAUCUAGAGUGACGUUCACUGAAAUGAUACUAGACCAGCCGGGACCCAGAGCGCUGCGGCUCACAGAAUGCGGUGACAGCGCCGCCUCGCGUCCCUUUCUUCACCUGCCUCAGGCAGACGUGGUCACGUGUGUUGGCCUCCAGGCUGGAAUACACUGGGGAUUAAAUGCAGAGAGGGGGGAGAAAGGAGGGAAGGAUGGGAGGACGUGUUGAAGAAAGACAGGAAGAGCUGGCGCUAUGGUUCAUACCUGUAAAACUAGCGCUUUCGGAGGCGAGGCAGGAGGAUGGUGUGAGACCAGGAGUUUGAGGUUGCAGUGAGCCAUGAUCGCACCACUGCACUCCAGCCUGGACGACAGAGUGAGACCCUGCUUUUAUAUACUUUUCAUAUUUUCUGUAAUUAAGCAAGUUUUACUUUAUUUUAGGAUAAAAUAUCUAUUGUGAAUUUUAAAAACAUGUAAAAUAAAAUUUUAAUUAAAAAGCCCAAA